AGUUUCGUCCUCGGGAGGCAGAGACCGACUUGUCGCGGGCGCCGAAUCAGGAUGUUGGCUCUCAUCUGGGCGUCUCUGUUCUUAUCUGUGAGAGGCAACAAUACAGUCAACGACACAGUUUUUCUACGCAUCUUAAAUAGCUCUGCGUGUGAGGUUCAGAUGAAGGUCGUGACCUGUGUGUGCCUCACUGAGGGGUUCCCCUUGCCCACCGUCACGUGGAAGCUGUUGAAAAACGUUGUUGUGCACUCUGUCGUCGCCGCCCCCGCCGCGGUGUCAUCGAACUACGCGGUCAACAGCACCAUCGUCCUCACUGUGAGCGACCACAGGGACGCCGCUCUGUGUGUCAGCCACAACGCCGACGGGGUAGUAGAACUAAAGCUCACAAUCCCAGCGAAUGAGUCCAAACACGAGGAUCUACUCAAAGAACUGUUGAUGACCCUUCAACAGCCGCAAGUCAUCAUUGCGUUUGUGAAUGGGAUUUUUCUUUCAGCAACCAUCUGCUGUUUGACCAGAGCAUGCCACAGAAAAAAAAAGAGAAGAUCCGUCAAUUUGGCUGAGGACAUGGAGAUGGUGACGGUUCCAGCGAUCGAUAAUGGUGAAGCAGUGGGAUAUGAUGACAGGACCCGUUACCAAGAUGCAGCUGAAGGAGGAGCUGAGGCUGCUGGGAUGUCAGCCCCCGAUGGGUACCAGGCACCAAAAGAGGUGGAGUACUCCAACAUCGUCUUCUCUGCACUGGGAAGGAGUGUCGCCGAGUCCAAUGAUGCUCAAGAAGCCACAGAGACCGAGUACGCUGAAAUCAAGAACGAAGCAGCACAGGAGAGACCGGACGACGGUGGAGCUUUGGAGGAAGGCGAGGAGGAGGAGGCGAUGGAGGAGGGGGAUGAGAGGGAGACGGGAUAGAGUGUGUUGGCAGAGGAAGGAGGUUAGGAUGUGGUGCUGUAUUCUCAUGUGUCUAGGUAAAUAAUGAGCCGGCUGGACCUCAGGGUACAUUUCUCUAUAUACAUACAUGUAUUGUAUUGAUACAUGGAAACGUAAUGAAUUCAAUGAAACAGACGCAUGUUAGGCAGAGGUCAAUUUAAUGGUCUUUGUCUGAAGUUACUCUUGUAAUAUGUUGUUGCUCUGAUGGCUUUUCUCACUUUUACGUGUAAACGACAAUCCUCAUCUUUGCCUGAAGUAAUUGAGACUGUGCAACUCCAUUCACUUAAAAUACCAUUUAAUUAUUCAUUUAUAUAUACGAUCGCAGCUUCCCAAGACCGGUUCCCCCAUCAGACAUCAGGCAUGAGCCUGGUGAGAACAAGUAAACUUUUUGCCCUAAUAAUCUCUAAUGUCUCUCACAGGCUUCACAGAUGCUCUGUCAGGGGGAAUCGACAGCUUUUUGUAGCAUUUCAGCUUUUUGUGACUUCUUCUUCUCAUAUUAUUAUUAAUUUUAUUACAAGAAAUACAUUUAUGUGAAAUAUAAAAUAAAAUCAAUUACCAUAAAGACUUCCAAGGAGCUUAUUGUACAGAAUUUCCCUGUUGAAACUUUGUCGUGUCCCUUUUUGUACAUCAAUUGAUUGAACAGUUUGAAAAUAAAAAUACUGCUGUGUUCAUGGGAAAGUUGACAUGUUUUGAGCCAGACUCUGAAAACCUAACCAAUUCCUGUGGUCAGCCUAGUGCAUUGUGUCCAGUGGUUUCAUCACCAGUUUUGACCUCUUCCGACUGUUGAACUUCUCUUUCUCCUUGUUGGAGGAUUUCUUCAUGAAUGUCCUGUGUAGUACUGUGGCAGGUCAUAAGAGUUACCACAUACACUAAAAAUGAAAUGAAUCCAUAUGAGGAAUGACCUCAAUGAAUACCCAUUGUAUUAUGAAUAUCCACCAUAUUGACUUUGCUGAGAAUGGCAAAAUCGGCAAAUGUGGUUCGUUCUAAGUGCUAAAAGGGAGAAACAUGACGACAAGCAGACACUUUGCAUUUGAAUCUUCAUGUAUUCAGUGCCUUUACAUUUUUUCCCCCCAACACUUGAAUAGCCUUAUAUUCUUUCAUCAUCAUCAGUUAGUUGAUGACCUGCAGAUGCUGGAUUAGUCCGCACUACACAUCGCACAUUGCAGAGUAUCUAUUGUACAAGGGGAAUGCAAAAAAAGACCAACAAAAGUUCCCGAUUCAUCACUCAUUGAGAAAGCAACUGCAUACAGAAAAGGACACUUUGGUUAGAUAGUUUGUCACGAUGAGCAGAUUUUUUUUAAAACUUCCUUUAAACAUUCUAAAUGUUUUGUGACAUCACAGUUGUGAAAGCAGUACAUAAAACAUUCAAAGAGUACUGGGCCAAUAGACUAGAUAGACAACAGCCCAGGCCAUGACGGAGACCAGAGUGUGUAUUGUUUGGAGCUGAUGUUGAGAACAUGUGUGGGACCCAGAAACAGACACAUUCGGGCCUGUGGGGAAAGUGGGUAGUCAAAUCUAGGCACAGAUAUGAAAUGGGUGAACAUGCAACCAUCCCCAACAUCUCUGCAGCUGCUUCUGGUCCGGUGUGAUCAACCACACUUCCUGUGUGUCUUGCGUUUUAUUUUCUUUCUUGAAAGAAAGUUUGUCCUGUGGAGGGAGAGAAUAAGUGUCUCGCAUUGAUCCUAUCACAAUGUUUCUUUGCUGUGACAAGCAACGAUGCUAACACAGGUAGAGUAUACGGCCUUGUUGCAAUCUUGUUAUUAAUUCAACACUGAAGGCCUGUAUUCAUAAGCCAUUGAAAGCUUCUUCAAUAUUAAAUAAUAACAUUGCCCUGAUCAUUAAUGUCCUUAUAAAUAUGUUGCUUUCAUGUUCCGAAAACUGCAGGUGAUUGCAGCUAUUCAAUUUUUUGGUCUCAUUAAGCUUGUUAGAGUGCUCAUGGCUCACCACACUUUAAA
Scophthalmus maximus (turbot) is the source of this 2873-nucleotide long non-coding RNA. The record is from Ensembl. NCBI's taxonomy places the organism in Eukaryota, Metazoa, Chordata, Actinopteri, Pleuronectiformes, Scophthalmidae.